This 670-nucleotide ribosomal RNA is filed under the name Hepatozoon canis. Its description in RNAcentral is "bacterial SSU rRNA". It matches the Rfam family "Eukaryotic small subunit ribosomal RNA", at positions 165 to 822 of the family's 1831-position model. Lineage: Eukaryota; Apicomplexa; Hepatozoidae. The record is from RNAcentral.
UUAUACCAGGGGGCAAAUCUCAACUUUAUUAGAAGAGACGCAUUUAUUAGAUAAAAAGCCAAUGCAUGCUUUUACAGUAUGGAAAUUGGUGAUUUAUAAUAACUUGGCAAAUCGCAAAGUGAAAACAGGCGAUAAAUCAUUCAAGUUUCUGACCUAUCAGCUUUCGACGGUAUGGUAUUGGCUUACCGUGGCAGUGACGGUUAACGGGGGAUUAGGGUUCGAUUCCGGAGAGGGAGCCUGAGAAACGGCUACCACAUCUAAGGAAGGCAGCAGGCGCGCAAAUUACCCAAUUCUAACAGUUUGAGAGAGGUAGUAACAAGAAAUAACAAUACAAGGCAAUUAAAAUGCUUUGUAAUUGGAAUGAUAGAAAUUUAAACCCUUUUUAAAGUAUCAAUUGGAGGGCAAGUCUGGUGCCAGCAGCCGCGGUAAUUCCAGCUCCAAUAGCGUAUAUUAAAAUUGUUGCAGUUAAAAAGCUCGUAGUUGAAGUUCUGCUAAAAGUAACCGGUCUGCUUUUAAUAAAAGUGGUAUCUUGGUGUGUAUUUAGCAAUGAUGUCCUUUGAAGUGUUUUUUACUUUAUUGUAAUAAAGCAUAUUCAGGACUUUUACUUUGAGAAAAUUAGAGUGUUUCUAGCAGGCCGACGCUUUGAAUACUGCAGCAUGGAAUAAUAAGA